Molecule: ribosomal RNA, 492 nt
Filed under: uncultured bacterium
Lineage: Bacteria
Description: partial 16S ribosomal RNA
Rfam family: Bacterial small subunit ribosomal RNA
Source: RNAcentral
AGUGAACGCUGGCGGUAGGCCUAACACAUGCCAGUCGAACGGCAACACAGUAAGAUCUUGCUCUUACGGGUGGCGAGUGGCGGACGGGUAAGGAAUACAUCGGAAUCUACUUUUUCGUGGAGGAUAACGUGGGGAAACUUACGCUAAUACCGCAUACGACCUACGGGUGAAAGCAGUGGAUCUUCGGACCUUGCGCGAUUGAAUGAGCCGAUGUCGGAUUAGCUAGUUGGCGGGGUAAAGGCCCACCAAGGCGACGAUCCGUAGCUGGUCUGAGAGGAUGAUCAGCCACACUGGAACUGAGACACGGUCCAGACUCCUACGGGAGGCAGCAGUGGGGAAUAUUGGACAAUGGGCGCAAGCCUGAUCCAGCCAUACCGCGUGGGUGAAGAAGGCCUUCGGGUUGUAAAGCCCUUUUGUUGGGAAAGAAAAGCAGCAGGUUAAUACCCCGCUGUUCUGACGGUACCCAAAGAAUAAGCACCGGCUAACUUCGUG